UCUAUAAAGCUGGAGUUCCUUUCACUGAAAUGAAUGAGAGAGCUAAAGGCAUGCCUUAUGGCUAGGGCUAUAAACAACUAUAACAGGACAUAUCAAAUAUACCUAACAAUUGUGCAUAGAUUUCAACACAACUGUAUUUCACAUACUUACUUGACUAGAACACAAGCGAAUGAAUUCCUUAGUGUCUGGGCAGGAGUGUCUAUAGCGCAAAUAUUGCAAAUAAAAUGUUUUAUGCAUCAGGAUAACCAGAACAGGCAGGAGUAUCAUUAAUGUCUGAAAUCAAUGCUAAACUAGGUUACUUUUACUUACAUUUCCCAAGUUAUUUUGCAGUGACGCCUUCACCUUGACCCUGAGAGCACAGGAAGUUUCACAUCAGAUUAUGAAGGAGACAGGAAGUUUGUAAAGAUCCAUUUUGGUAAAGGUAGGAUGAACUCCAUCAGACACUGGUCACUCAGUCAGUAGGCUCUUUAGGUCUCCUGCCUUGCACUAUGAUUGUGUCUCAUGCCUGGACUAAAUUAACGUUGUACAAGGAAAACAUCCUUGAAGUUUCGGAAAUAUGUUUUUAUGGACUUUCCCUAGAUGAAUAAAAGAUUUUCUCCAGCUGAAGUAUUUAGUUGCCAUGGAAACGGAAUCCCACCCUAGAACUCUAUUUAGCUGGAUUCACAUUUGGCUUCUAAAAACUGAUCCUGUGACUGUGACACUUGGACUUUAUAAGAACAUUCGUUUAUACAGCAAGUUAUCUCUGUUUAUGGCAGCAGGUGUAUGGCUCGGAUUUAUUUUGGAUUUGUCCUAAUGGUUUAAUAGAAAUAGGGCUAAAAAGAAUGUCAAUACACUGUUAACAAAAAUGGACAAUGGCUGCUCUUGGUCUUAAAAAAAAUACCCUCUCCUAUUUAUUUCUUUUAAAGGGAGAUUUACAUUUGGGAUUGUCUAUAUAUUUCAAAAUGUAGGUCAAGCAUUCUUCCUGACCUGCAAAAUGAAUCAUCCCAGCUCCAAACAGAUGAGUCCUAUUAAUUUAAAUGGCGACUGGAAACUAAGAGAGUCUGUAAUUUGAAUAAACCAAAACACUAUAACAAUUUGAAAACAGGAACACAUGUUGUUUAAAAAACGCAUCAGUCAAAAUCCAUUUUUCAA
Xenopus tropicalis (tropical clawed frog) is the source of this 1131-nucleotide long non-coding RNA. RefSeq lists it as uncharacterized. The record is from RefSeq and is a predicted model, not a curated record. Lineage: Eukaryota; Metazoa; Chordata; Amphibia; Anura; Pipidae. The transcript is spliced from 3 exons.